This 440-nucleotide ribosomal RNA is filed under the name uncultured bacterium. RNAcentral describes it as "partial 16S ribosomal RNA". It matches the Rfam family "Bacterial small subunit ribosomal RNA", at positions 338 to 795 of the family's 1533-position model. The record is from RNAcentral.
CCUACGGGAGGCUGCAGUAGGGAAUAUUGCUCAAUGGGGGAAACCCUGAAGCAGCAACGCCGCGUGGAGGAUGAAGGUUUUCGGAUUGUAAACUCCUUUUGUUAGAGAAGAUAAUGACGGUAUCUAACGAAUAAGCACCGGCUAACUUCGUGCCAGCAGCCGCGGUAAUACGGAGGGUGCAAGCGUUACUCGGAAUCACUGGGCGUAAAGAGCGCGUAGGCGGGAUAGCAAGUCAGAUGUGAAAUCCUAGGGCUUAACCAUAGAACUGCAUUUGAAACUGUUAUUCUAGAGUAUGGGAGAGGUAGGUGGAAUUCUUGGUGUAGGGGUAAAAUCCGUAGAGAUCAAGAGGAAUACUCAUUGCGAAGGCGACCUGCUAGAACAUAACUGACGCUGAUGCGCGAAAGCGUGGGGAGCAAACAGGAUUAGAUACCCGGGUAGUU